GACAGAGGUGCCAAGCGUUAGGCGGAAUCACUGGGCUUAAAGCGUGUGUAGGCGGAUUGGUAAGUACCUUGUGAAAUCCCACGGCUUAACCGUGGAACUGCUGGGUAUACUGCCUGUCUUGAGCUACCUAGGGGCAACUGGAACAAACGGUGGAGCGGUGAAAUGCGUAGAUAUCGUUUGGAACGCCAAAGGUGAAAACAGGUUGCUGGGGGUAUGCUGACGCUGAGACACGAAAGCCAGGGGAGCGAACGGG
This 253-nucleotide ribosomal RNA is filed under the name uncultured bacterium. Its description in RNAcentral is "partial 16S ribosomal RNA". It matches the Rfam family "Bacterial small subunit ribosomal RNA", at positions 524 to 776 of the family's 1533-position model. The record is from RNAcentral.